GCGGCGGCGGCGGCGGCUCGGAGCGCAUGACUCAGAAGAGCAGGUGACCUGCCAACACACAGGAGCAGGAGCGUGGCGGCGAGAAGAAAAACAAGCAGGAGGACAUCUCUGACAAGCAAUUACACGGCAGCUCGUCUGGGCGGCAGGUGGGGAUGAGCCCCGGCCUGCUGGAGGGGCAGAAGAUUGAAUACUCCAGAGAUGGAGCAGAAAAUGGCCGGAGGGAGAACACGGUACCGAGAGGCACGGGGUCGUUCCUCUGCUUCCUCCGAGCUGUUUGAGCAAAUCUGACACUUGUCUGACUCGUCCGCUCCCGAUCCGCCAGCGGCUUCAUCCAACUCCUCAAACUCGUCUCCUGAGAGUUGACCGGAGCCCCGACACCGGCUGAAAAUCCACAGUAACAUCGUGUCAGAGUUCCUCAACGCUCUCCUCCUCCCCAUACGCUGC
Molecule: non-coding RNA, 444 nt
Organism: Paralichthys olivaceus (Japanese flounder)
Lineage: Eukaryota; Metazoa; Chordata; Actinopteri; Pleuronectiformes; Paralichthyidae
Source: RefSeq, a predicted model, not a curated record